RNAcentral lists this ribosomal RNA (397 nucleotides) under uncultured bacterium. RNAcentral describes it as "partial 16S ribosomal RNA". It matches the Rfam family "Bacterial small subunit ribosomal RNA", at positions 523 to 918 of the family's 1533-position model. The record is from RNAcentral.
AUACGUAGGUGGCAAGCGUUGUCCGGAAUUAUUGGGCGUAAAGCGCGCGCAGGUGGUUCCUUAAGUCUGAUGUGAAAGCCCCCGGCUCAACCGGGGAGGGUCAUUGGAAACUGGGGAACUUGAGUGCAGAAGAGGAUAGUGGAAUUCCAAGUGUAGCGGUGAAAUGCGUAGAGAUUUGGAGGAACACCAGUGGCGAAGGCGACUGUGUGGUCUGUAACUGACCCUGAGGCGCGAAAGCGUGGGGAGCAAACAGGAUUAGAUCCCCGGGUAGUCCACGCCGUAAACGAUGAGUGCUAAGUGUUGGGGGGUUUCCGCCCCUCAGUGCUGCAGCUAACGCAUUAAGCACUCCGCCUGGGGAGUACGGUCGCAAGACUGAAACUCAAAGGAAUUGACGGGG